This 700-nucleotide ribosomal RNA is filed under the name uncultured bacterium. RNAcentral describes it as "bacterial SSU rRNA". It matches the Rfam family "Bacterial small subunit ribosomal RNA", at positions 94 to 824 of the family's 1533-position model. The record is from RNAcentral.
AGUGGCGGACGGGUGAGUAACACGUAAGAAUUUGCCUUUAGGAGGGGGACAACAACUAGAAAUGGUUGCUAAUACCCCAUAUGCCUUCGAGUGAAAUGGAUUUUUCCGCCUAGAGAGAAGCUUGCGGCUGAUUAGCUUGUUGGUGAGGUAAUGGCUCACCAAGGCGACGAUCAGUAUUUGGUUUGAGAGGACGAUCAGACACACUGGAACUGAGACACGGUCCAGACUCCUACGGGAGGCAGCAGUGGGGAAUUUUCCGCAAUGGGCGAAAGCCUGACGGAGCAAUACCGCGUGAGGGAUGACGGCCUAUGGGUUGUAAACCUCUUUUUUCAGGGAGGAAUCAAUGACGUGUACCUGAAGAAUAAGCAUCGGCUAACUCCGUGCCAGCAGCCGCGGUAAGACGGGGGAUGCAAGUGUUAUCCGGAAUCACUGGGCGUAAAGCGCCUGUAGGUGGUCCAAUAAGUCAACUGUUAAAUCUUGAGGCUCAACCUCAAAAUCGCAGUCGAAACUAUUAGACUAGAGUAUAGUAGGGGUAAAGGGAAUUUCCAGUGGAGCGGUGAAAUGCGUAGAGAUUGGAAAGAACACCGAUGGCGAAGGCACUUUACUGGGCUAUUACUAACACUCAGAGACGAAAGCUAGGGUAGCAAAUGGGAUUAGAUACCCCAGUAGUCCUAGCCGUAAACAAUGGAUACUAGAUGUU